GACGGAGGGUGCUAGCGUUGUUCGGAAUGACUGGGCGUAAAGGGCGCGUAGGCGGCCGCUUGCGUCGGAUGUGAAAGCCCGGGGCUCAACCCCGGAACGGCAUCCGAUACGGGGCGGCUCGAGACCGAGAGAGGUGAGUGGAAUACCCAGUGUAGAGGUGAAAUUCGUAGAUAUUGGGUGGAACACCGGUGGCGAAGGCGGCCCACUGGAUCGGUACUGACGCUGAGGUGCGAAAGCGUGGGGAGCAAACAGG
This 253-nucleotide ribosomal RNA is filed under the name uncultured bacterium. RNAcentral describes it as "partial 16S ribosomal RNA". It matches the Rfam family "Bacterial small subunit ribosomal RNA", at positions 524 to 776 of the family's 1533-position model. The record is from RNAcentral.